GGGGAUGACUAGUGACAGAGUGAGGGAAGGGGUGACUAGUGGCAGAGUGAGGGAAGGAAGGGGUGACUAGUGACAGAGUGAGGGGAUGACUGGUGACAGAGAGGGAGGUGGUGACUGUCACUAGUCACCCCAUCCCUCCCUCUGUCACUAGUCACCCCCUCCCUCUGUCAUUGUGUCACCCCAUUCCUCCCUCUGUCAUUGUGUCACCCCAUUCCUCCCUCUGUCACUGUGUCACCCCAUUCCUCCCUCUGUCACUGUGUCACCCC
Non-coding RNA from Pelobates cultripes (western spadefoot toad), 266 nucleotides. NCBI's taxonomy places the organism in Eukaryota, Metazoa, Chordata, Amphibia, Anura, Pelobatidae. The record is from the annotation of a GenBank genome assembly.